This 253-nucleotide ribosomal RNA is filed under the name uncultured bacterium. RNAcentral describes it as "partial 16S ribosomal RNA". It matches the Rfam family "Bacterial small subunit ribosomal RNA", at positions 524 to 776 of the family's 1533-position model. The record is from RNAcentral.
UACGGAGGGUGCAAGCGUUGUUCGGAAUUACUGGGCGUAAAGGGCGUGUAGGUGGUAGGGUGUGUCAGAUGUGAAAGCCCUGGGCUCAACCCAGGAAGUGCAUUUGAAACUACUCUACUUGAGUAUGGGAGAGGAGAGUGGAAUUCCCAGUGUAGAGGUGAAAUUCGUAGAUAUUGGGAGGAACACCCGUGGCGAAGGCGGCUCUCUGGACCAAUACUGACACUGAGAAGCGAAAGCGUGGGGAGCAAACAGG